UUGGAGGAUGAAUAGGGAAACCGGUAAAAAGGUGAUGUACCUAGUAGUAUUAGGCCUAAUAUGAUAUUAACUAAGUUAAUUAAAGUUCGAAGUGGAUAGUUGAUUAUGACAGUAUUUACUAAUGUCUUGACCAAGUCACGUGCCAGCAGUCGCGGUAAUACGUGGAAGAUAAGUGUUAUUCAUCGUUAAUUGGUUUAAAGGGUACCUAGACGGUUAAUAAGACACACAAAUGUAUUUAUUAACUAGAGUUUGAUGUAAGAAAGAUGGAGUACGGUGAGUGUAGAGAUAAAAUUCAAUGAUACCACUUUGUAACUGGUAAAGGCGAAGGCAACUUUCUAUGUAAAAACUGACGUUGAGGGACGAAGGCUCGUUUUAAAUAAAAGGAUUAGAGACCCUUGUAUUGUGAGCAGACAAUGAUGAGUGUCAUAUGCAAGAACCAUAAUAUAUAAUAAACCAUAAUAUAUAGUUUAUUAUAUAUUUUUUGUGUAUAAAUGAAAGUGUAAGCAUUCCACCUCAAGAGUAACAUGGCAACAUGCAAACUGAAAUCAUUAGACCGUUUCUGAAACUCGUAGUGAAGUAUGUUGUUUAAUUUGAUAAUCCACAAAUAACCUUACCACAACUUGAAUUACUCAUCGGUGUAGUGCCCACCUUACUUUAAGGUUUUGUUGCACCGGUGAGCAACAAGCGUUGCACGGCUGUCUUCAGUCAAUGUUGUGAAACUAUGGUUAGAUCCAUGAAAUUGACGUAAACCCUUACUUUAUUUAUUAUAAAGUUGUUCGGCCGCUAUAUUGGUAGUGAUACAAGGGACCAAGACAAGUCAUCAUGACCUGAACGUUGUGGGCUAUAGACGUGCCACAUUACCCUUUACAAAAAGAUGCAAAA
This 882-nucleotide ribosomal RNA is filed under the name Chapsa meridensis. RNAcentral's name for it is "SSU rRNA". It matches the Rfam family "Bacterial small subunit ribosomal RNA", at positions 356 to 1254 of the family's 1533-position model. Lineage: Eukaryota; Fungi; Ascomycota; Lecanoromycetes; Ostropales; Graphidaceae. The record is from RNAcentral.